Molecule: ribosomal RNA, 246 nt
Filed under: Triticum aestivum (bread wheat)
Lineage: Eukaryota; Viridiplantae; Streptophyta; Magnoliopsida; Poales; Poaceae
Description: partial small subunit ribosomal RNA
Source: RNAcentral
AGGUCUCCGGUGCCCUACCGUGAGAGCCCGAUGGCGUAUGAGCCGGAGAAGCUCUGCUGGUGCAGGCCGCGUAGGAAGGCGCCUAGAUGGAUCUCAUGGAGCCGUCAGAACCCGGGCCGGAGGUACUACGCCUGCGUGGAUGCCAUGGUAAGUUUCAUUCUUGUUCUACUUUUCUGUUCAUUAGAUCUUCUUCCCUCUCAAACCCUGAUUUCUGUUGGUACAACAAGGUGGUUGUGGCUACGUUGA